GACUCGGCGAGAAGUCCAUUGAACCUUAUCAUUUAGAGGAAGGAGAAGUCGUAACAAGGUUUCCGUAGGUGAACCUGCGGAAGGAUCAUUGUCGAGACCGAAAUAUACACCGAGCGAAUCGGAGAACCCGUGAAACGAACGACGUGCGGCGGCCGCCGCGGAACGGCCGUCCGAGCCGUCGUCCCGUCUCCUCUUUCGGGCGGGAGGCGGCGCGGCGGAGAGGACGGAUGAAAACACAAACCGGCGCAGCAUCGCGCCAAGGGAAAACCGAAAGGCACGAGCCCCACGUCGGGCUCGGUGGCGUGGAGUGCUGUUGCACCCCAUGCGGAUGGACACGACUCUCGGCAAUGGAUAUCUCGGCUCUCGCAUCGAUGAAGAGCGCAGCGAAAUGCGAUACGUGGUGCGAAUUGCAGAAUCCCGCGAACCAUCGAGUCUUUGAACGCAAGUUGCGCCUGAGGCCAGCCGGCCGAGGGCACGUCCGCCUGGGCGUCAAGCUACGCGUCGCUCCGCGCCAGCUCCGUUCCGCCAGAUGGGGGUGACGGCCGAGGCUCGGACGUGCAGAGUGGCCCGUCGUGCCGGUCGGUGCGGCGGGCUGAAGAGCGGGCUAUGUCUCGCCGGCCGCGAACAACAAGGGGUGGGUGAAAGCUGCGAGCGCGGCCUGCGUUGUCUCGUGCUGGCCCGAGAGAUGGAUCGUGCCCUCCAGGAGAGAUCCCGACCCCAAGCGCCGGCCCGGAUGCGUCGGCUUUGGAAUGCGACCCCAGGACGGGCGAGGCCACCCGCCGAGUUUAAGCAUAUC
This 796-nucleotide ribosomal RNA is filed under the name Oeceoclades pulchra. RNAcentral describes it as "eukaryotic LSU rRNA". The stretch from base 337 to 492 matches the Rfam family "5.8S ribosomal RNA". Lineage: Eukaryota; Viridiplantae; Streptophyta; Magnoliopsida; Asparagales; Orchidaceae. The record is from RNAcentral.